Molecule: long non-coding RNA, 5637 nt
Organism: Gasterosteus aculeatus aculeatus (three-spined stickleback)
Lineage: Eukaryota; Metazoa; Chordata; Actinopteri; Perciformes; Gasterosteidae
Source: Ensembl
GGGUAUUAAUUAGGCCCGUGUGGAUGCUGUUUCUCUAAAGGCCACCGGUUUGAACCCUCGGACCGCGGAGCUGCUGUGUUCGGGGUCACAGCGGUAAAGGAGACUCACAGUACUUUCUGCAACAUGUGGAACGUGAUGUAAUAACUGCACGCUGUGUUCUCCGUCUUGUCACGAGGGGGAAAUAACAACCGAGGUGUAACUUUGGGGUUCAGACAGACGACAGAAAGUAUUUCAGAGGAAACUUUCAGACCUGCUGACGUGUUGAGUUGAUUUCUAAAGAGAUUCAUCAAAGUUCCUUCUCAGACAUUGAAGAAACGGAGAGACAUAUAUAUCUACAUCUCUAUGUAGAUAUAUAUCUAUGUGUGUGUAUAUCGGUGAUUCCUGCCCUGAAGGUCGUCUCUUACUGUUUCUAUUGGCAUUAUAAAUAUGGGACAUUCAAGUCAUUUCAUUGGGAUGGAAGAAAUGUGGCAUCCUUCUGGCUUUUCACUGCUCAAGUAUCUUAACGAAUAUAAAUGGGGGGAAAGCUGCUCACCACAGGAGGAACCAAACCAAUGUGCUGGUGAUUUACACCUUCGGCGCCAACAGCCCCUCACCUGCAUCACAAUUACAUUCUAGACAUGAAGUGGAAGCUGUUAUCUACCCCAGAGCCGUUUACAAUGAGGGCAACAACACAAUCGGCUUAAGUUAUUUCACUGCCAACAUUCCAAGGAAUCAUUAGUGAGAAGUGCAGGGGUCAGAAACGUCCUGGCAAGAGACGGAACAAAUUCCCCCCGUCCCUCCGACACAUUCAUGCAUAUAAAUGACUCAUUUCUCGUCGAAACGGAGACGUGGUGAGAGGACGAGGGAACACCGGGCGGAAGCAAUUCAAAGGGCUGUGAGGAGAAAUAAGGAGAAUGCAGUUAGUGAAGUUAAAAUGUAUUCUUUGGUUUUCAAUGAAUGUAAUCUGGGAACUUUUUAUAUGAAAAGGUGUGCUGCAUGACGAUAUGUUGAACUGGUACCAACCACCGAGUAGCUCUGGUUUAGAAGCCUGGCUGUGUGUCUUUGUCAUAAAUAAUAAUCAUGAUGUGAUAAAUAUACAUUUGGACCAUUUAAAUACAUUUCAGGUGGGAUUUCACUCGAGAAGUUGCUGACAAAAGAGGAAAAUGUGCUAAAUUUGAGACGAAACAUCUCAGGAACAAACAGGAGUGAUGACGGUAAAUAAAAGAACAGACACACACACACACACACACACUCCCUGAAAAUCACACAUAGAUGCACACGCACACACACUCACACACACACUGUGUGGAAGAUUAGCUCACUACACGCUAUGGUACAAUCCUCUUUGAGCGACUUAAACUUUCUCAUUACACGUUCACAUCCGGAUUUCUUUCCAGACAGCGAGAGGAAGACUUUUAGUGAGAAAGGAAGUAAGAUAAAAGGGAGAGAGACAGAAUGCAAGACAGAGAGAGAGAGAGGAUGGGAGGGAGGUUGAGAGAGAACUGGAAAGAAAGAGCGAGAAGAAGAGGAAAAACAAAAGGUUUGGUGAAGGUCAAGAUGGGAAAGGGCUCAGAGAUGGGAGUGACAAGAAGGAGAGAGAGAUUCACACGAUGAGGAGGAUUGUUGAGGACACCUGUGUGUGUCUGUGUGUGUGCGUGUGUGACACCGUGACAUACGAUGGAGAUUGGAAGGUAGUGGUGGCGGGUGCAGCACAAGGGGAAUGAUAAUGGACUCACACUGUACAUAUUCAAAAAUAAACUUGGACACCUGCACACACAGACACACACAUGCAGACUGUGCAACUGCUCAAUGAAAGCCAACAAGACGGAGUGACAUCAGAGAGGAGACGUCCUUCAGGGCUACAAACACAGAGCUGUGCAGCGUGAGACGCUCAUCAGAACACAGAGAGACGAAUGCUGAUUCAGGAUCAGUCACAACCGAGUCCGUGCACAAAGUGGGGAAGACGCGGCGCUGGAUGUGUGCGUUCUCGUGGGAUUCAGACUGAUGCCAGCUUCCUGUUGUGCAUUUGUCGUUGUAACAGUGUUCCCUGCUGCCUUACUGCUUCCAUUUCAACCUCAAAGAGGCUUUUUUCAGUAAAAGACAGCGACGCCCAAAUGGUGAAAGGUGAAUUGCACCUGGAGUCUAACGCUGCAAGGGAUUCUGGGUAGAAACUGAUACCACGUGUGGUGCACAUGACACUCGGAUCUCUUCCCUGAACGAGUCAGUGCCAGCGGGUUGAAUGCCAUUUGGUAACAUGCGCCAUAACCAGAGGUACGCGGCUGUUCACCCUGGUUUGUUUCCCUUAGGUAGACCCUGGUUAGUGUCCCUUAGGUAGACCCUGGUUAGUGUCCCCUAGAUGGACCCUGGUUAGUUUCCCUUAGGUAUACCCUGGUUAGUGUCCUCUAGGUAGACCCUGGUUAGUGUCCCUUAGGUAGACCCUGGUUAGUGUCCCCUAGAUGGACCCUGGUUAGUUUCCCUUAGGUAUACCCUGGUUAGUGUCCUCUAGGUAGACCCUGGUUAGUGUCCUCUAGGUAGACCCUGGUUAGUGUCCCCUAGAUGGACCCUGGUUAGUUUCCCUUAGGUAGACCCUGGUUAGUGUCCUCUAGGUAGACCCUGGUUAGUGUCCCCUAAAUAGACCCUGGUUAGUUUCCCUUAGGUAGACGCUUGUUAGUGUCCCCUAGGUAGAGCCUGGUUAGUGUCUAUCAGGGUCAUUUCAUUGGCUCAUUUCACCGUACUUCUGUGACAUAACUGGGAUUUGAAAUGGUGAUUUUCCUUUGUGGUGCCAGCAGCGAGCUGCAGGACCCUUCUCCCAUCAAAUAGCUUCUCUUAAAAAGAUUAUUCUGGGCCUAUCAGAGGAUGUCAUUUGGAAGCAAAUGCAUUGGGGAGCUCUGCCCAUCUGUUAUAUGUAAUCUAAUUUUCUCAUGCUCCAAAAGCUGGCCAGGAAGAAAAAAAGGAAAUCUCCAGGAUCUCUGAAGCCUUUUAACGUGUUACGGACACGUUUUCUCACUCAGCUCACAUUUCUCACUCACCCCGGGAUCACUUCUGUCCAAAAAUGUUCUCAACAACGGUUUAUAUACAACACCACAUUCAUGAUGCGGACCGGGAGCGUUCCAGAGAUCCGACCUGAAGGUAUCAAACGCUCCGGAAAAGAUCUGCCAAACUGCUCCAGACCCGAUCUUGCCAGUCAGUAUUUGAACUGGGAAACAGGGCGCGUUCGGUGUGCGGGUCCGCGGCGGAUCCGCUGUUUGAAGGUGCGCGAUCCGUAGGAUCCAGGAUAAUUUCCUUGGCAACCAUUAACCAUUACAUCCAACAGCCAUCAGGCUCACUGUGACAAACCUGACAUGACACAUUCAACUCGAUGCGCUAACGUUUUGUUUCCAUUUCAAAAGGCAUUUCUCUUCUCUCUUUGCUACGUUUACGGCGGGCGUCCACUCACUUCACUACUGAGAAGUCAGUGUGGGUAAAAUAGAUUUUUAUUUUGCCCAAAGGUAGCACCAAUCAUAAUCAUUUCUAAAACUGUGCUAAAACUCCCACGUGGACGGAAAUUAUUUGAAAUGGAAAUAUAUUAGUGGAGCUAAUGGCUCGGUUCAGUGUAGUUAGAGUAUUAAAUGAGCCUGAAGUUUAUUAGAAGUGUUUACAGAUUAGAGCUCAGCUCCACUACCUAACUGCCCCCUAUCACGACGCAUUUACUCAAUCAGACGUUCAUGAAGGGGCAAAGGUAUGAAUUCCAAACUCAACUCAACGCAAGUGGAUAAUGCCUUCAUGUCUGCCGGGACCUCGGGCUCGUCAGCCCGCCGGCGUCCCCGGCCGAGGCACUUGGGAGUUGAACUUUGCACGUGAGCGGUCGGAUACGAGGUGGGCGUCUGCUCCGGGGAUCUGGUGGGAGCCGCACCGGGCUACUAAUGCACGGUAUGGUGAUUUAAGCGAAGCCUCUUGUGCCUCCUGGGCUAAUUAUCCAGGUCCCAGAAUGUCUGAACUUUUCCUUUUCCUCACCACGAUCCACUUGGAGUCUAUUUCCUGCCUCUGGUUACACUCCCUCAUUACUUAAGUUUUGCAUUUGCCGGCUUGCUUGCUUCACCGCUUCCUUCGUAUCUGCUUCUUUACUCAAGCUUUAAAUUCCCCUUCCUAUACUUUCCUCUCCACCUGCUGUAUGUAAGACCGUGUUGCUCAUUAUGCCUCUGAGGGAGGGCAGAAAUUGCAUUUUGUCCGAGUUGAACUCGUGUGCCCUGUUACUCAGCUGGCAGAAGGUUUUUUUUUUCUAUUUGCAAAUUCUGUCACUAGUGGGGGGUUUUGUAAGCAGUUACUAUUUAGGUUGCUUAACUUACACUCAUUGUUUUCUGGGCCACGUUGUUCGAAGAUGCUAUUUGCAAAGGACUCGUGGCCCUUCACUCAUCAAUGAAGCCUUUGGGGGAAAAUGCAAACUACUGCGAAUGUGUCGUACAGCGUUUAUCCACAGCAGCAGGGACAUGGCAACAGUUGCAGCACUAUUUGAAUUUAAUGUCUGAAUACAUUUUUCAUUAAUGUGCCUCGGGCGAAAUGCUGAAUAAUUUGAAUGGCCCUCCGGUAAGAAGGUUUUAUUGUGACAGGUAAGAAGGGAAGGAGUGGAUCUAGUCUGCGCUCUUUGUGCAAUAAGGUUUACGCACUUUAAUGGCAACUGAAAUACAGUAAACAUAGAGUUAAAAUGAAAUAAAAGCAUUGUUAGAUAAUGAAACGUAAAGGCAGAUCAAGGAUGCUAACAAAUGCCAGCGAACACGUUAAAGUAAAUGUCACUUCCUGCGCUGACCGUCGCCUCUGAACAUGAAUCAUGAAUCGUGAGUCCUUCCCGUCGCCAAACAUUCACUUAUGUAUCGAGGACGAUUGAAGAGUCUCCACGUUCAUUAUUUUCCUGCCUUUCACCUCGUUGGUCCUUCUGGGAAUCUUCCUCUUCCUCCUUUCCUGGUACCCCGGGACCCCCCCCACGCCCCCUCCUUCCUCAUUACGAGGAGAAUAGAGGAUGUCUGCUCGGCCUCGGGGGCAGCGAUGAUCAUCUGCUGUUGAACCACACGCAUGCAUGUAUGGAUGCAACAACCACAAACAUAUUGUGCAAUACUCACUAACGUUUGGAUUUAAAUGUUACAUGCAUGUUAUCUUUGUGCACAUACUUCUUACUAACCUUCUAUCUUCAAAACAGGACCCAAAUCAUGAGGGGACAACUGCAGAGGAGUUCAACAUGACGUACAAGAGGCGAUCCCCAAAGACACUGUGGAUGUAUGAAUCUCAAAUUAACUCCUGGGCAAAAAAAGUCCCAUAAGAGAAAAGCGAAAAUGGUGUCAGUGAGCUGAGGAGAGAAGAGGAAGAGGAGGAGGAGGCAAAAUAAAACAUUCGACACACUACAGAAGUUCUUUUUCAUUCCAACUCAGAUGCUCCUCAGAUGCUCCUGAGCUCCGAGGGUCACAGUCACAGACGUCCGUCCACGUGUCCAUUGUCUCUGUGUGUGAGUGGACAGCGAGCUUUGUUGAUGCUGACACAUGGAGGGAGAAACUCCAGACCAGAUGAGAACAGAAGGGACGAGAGAAGAAAGGGAGAAGGACGGGAUGUGAAAUGAGAGAGGAGCUGGGAAGAUAACAGGAGAAUAAAAGGAAGGAAGGAAGGAGGCCAGGAGAGAGGAGGAGACAGGGG